UGUGUGUGUGUGUGUGUGUGUGUGUGUGUGUGUGUGUGUGUGUGUGUGUGUGUGUGUGUGUGUGCAUGUGAAUUAAAGGGUUUGUCUAGCCCAGUAGUCUGCAUAUUAGUUGCAGUAGUUGGCGCACCUCUCCUAUCUCUGAUUGUUCUAGGUGUCUUUUGCCAGAGGUUACCUCAGCAUAUGUAGGCUGAUGAUCUGAAUGAUACAUGGUGUGGACUGUGUUGUGAUGGGCUGGAUCUAGUAGUGCUGUGUUGUGAUUGGCCUGGUCCAGUAGAGCUGUGUUGUGAUUGGCCAGGUCAAGUAGAGCUGUGUUGUGAUGGGCCUGGUCCAGUAGAGCUGUGUUGUGAUUGGCCAGGUCUCGUUUGGUAAAUCUGUGUUGUGAUGGGCCGGGUCUAGUAGAGCUGUGUUGUGAUUGGCCUGGUCCAGUAGAGCUGUGUUGUGAUUGGCCAGGUCAAGUAGUGCUGUGUUGUGAUUGGCCUGGUCCAGUAGAGCUGUGUUGUGAUUGGCCAGGUCAAGUAGAGCUGUGUUGUGAUGGGCCGGGUCUAGUAGAGCUGUGUUGUGAUGGGCCUGGUCCAGUAGAGCUGUGUUGUGAUUGGCCAGGUCAAGUAGUGCUGUGUUGUGAUGGGCCGGGUCUAGUAGAGCUGUGUUGUGAUUGGCCGGGUCUAGUAGAGCUGUGUUGUGAUGGGCCUGGUCCAGUAGAGCUGUGUUGUGAUUGGCCAGGUCUCGUUUGGUAAAUCUGUGUUGUGAUGGGCCGGGUCUAGUAGAGCUGUGUUGUGAUUGGCCUGGUCCAGUAGAGCUGUGUUGUGAUUGGCCAGGUCAAGUAGUGCUGUGUUGUGAUGGGCCGGGUCUAGUAGAGCUGUGUUGUGAUUGGCCGGGUCUAGUAGAGCUGUGUUGUGAUGGGCCUGGUCUAGUAGAGCUGUGUUGUGAUGGGCCGGGUCUAGUAGAGCUGUGUUGUGAUAGACCAGGACUGGUCUGGUAAAUCUGUGUUGUGAUGGGCCUGGUCUAGUAGAGCUGUGUUGUGAUGGGCCGGGUCUAGUAGAGCUGUGUUGUGAUAGACCAGGACUGGUCAAGUAGUGCUGUGUUGUGAUGGGCCGGGUCUAGUAGAGCUGUGUUGUGAUUGGCCGGGUCUAGUAGAGCUGUGUUGUGAUGGGCCUGGUCCAGUAGAGCUGUGUUGUGAUUGGCCAGGUCAAGUAGUGCUGUGUUGUGAUGGGCCGGGUCUAGUAGAGCUGUGUUGUGAUUGGCCGGGUCUAGUAGAGCUGUGUUGUGAUGGGCCUGGUCUAGUAGAGCUGUGUUGUGAUGGGCCGGGUCUAGUAGAGCUGUGUUGUGAUGGGCCUGGUCUAGUAGAGCUGUGUUGUGAUGGGCCGGGUCUAGUAGAGCUGUGUUGUGAUAGACCAGGACUGGUCUGGUAAAUCUGUGUUGUGAUGGGCCUGGUCUAGUAGAGCUGUGUUGUGAUGGGACGGGUCUGGUCCAGUAGUGCUGUGUUGUGAUGGGCCUGGUCUAGUAGAACUGUGUUGUGAUGGGCCUGGUCUAGUAGAGCUGUGUUGUGAUGGGCCUGGUCUAGUAGAGCUGUGUUGUGAUGGGCCUGGUCCAGUAGAGCUGUGUUGUGAUGGGCCUGUUCUAGUAGAGCUGUGUUGUGAUGGGACUGGUCUAGUAGAGCUGUGUUGUGAUGGGACGGGUUUGGUCUGGUAAAUCUGUGCUGUGUUGGGCCUGGUCUAGUAGAGCUGUGUUGUGAUGGGACGGGUCUGGUCCAGUAGAGCUGUGUUGUGAUGGGUCUGGUCUGGUAAAUCUGUGCUAGGGUUGGGCCUGGUCUAGUAGAGCUGUGUUGUGAUGGGACGGGUCUAGUAGUGCUGUGUUGUGAUGGGCCUGGUCUAGUAGAGCUGUGCUGUAAUAAGCCGUGUCUGGCUCUUCUCUCCUG
RNAcentral lists this long non-coding RNA (1915 nucleotides) under Salmo salar (Atlantic salmon). RNAcentral's name for it is "lncRNA (ENSSSAG00000099739.1)". The record is from RNAcentral. Lineage: Eukaryota; Metazoa; Chordata; Actinopteri; Salmoniformes; Salmonidae.